AAGCAUAUCAAUAAGCGGAGGAAAAGAAACCAACAGGGAUUGCCCUAGUAACGGCGAGUGAAGCGGCAACAGCUCAAAUUUGAAAUCUGGCUCUUUUAGAGUCCGAGUUGUACUUUGCAGAGGGCGCUUUGGCUUUGGCAGCGGUCCAAGUUCCUUGGAACAGGACGUCACAGAGGGUGAGAAUCCCGUACGUGGUCGCUGGCUAUUGCCGUGUAAAGCCCCUUCGACGAGUCGAGUUGUUUGGGAAUGCAGCUCUAAAUGGGAGGUACAUUUCUUCUAAAGCUAAAUAUUGGCCAGAGACCGAUAGCGCACAAGUAGAGUGAUCGAAAGAUGAAAAGCACUUUGGAAAGAGAGUCAAACAGCACGUGAAAUUGUUGAAAGGGAAGCGCUUGCAGCCAGACUUGCUUGCAGUUGCUCAUCCGGGCUUUUUUGCCCGGUGCACUCUUCUGUAGGCAGGCCAGCAUCAGUUUGGGCGGUAGGAUAAAGGUCUCUGUCACGUACCUCCUUUCGGGGAGGCCUUAUAGGGGAGGCGACAUACUACCAGCCUGGACUGAGGUCCGCGCAUCUGCUAGGAUGCUGGCGUAAUGGCUGUAAGCGGCCCGUCUUGAAACACGGACCAAGGAGUCUAACAUCUAUGCGAGUGUUUGGGUGUCAAGCCCGAGCGCGUAAUGAAAGUGAACGGAGGUGGGAACCCGCAAGGGUGCACCAUCGACCGAUCCUGAUGUCUUCGGAAGGAUUUGAGUAAGAGCAUGGCUGUUGGGACCCGAAAGAUGGUGAACUAUGCUUGAAUAGGGUGAAGCCAGAGGAAACUCUGGUGGAGGCUCGCAGCGGUUCUGACGUGCAAAUCGAUCGUCAAAUUUGGGCAUAGGGGCGAAAGACUAAUCGAACUAUCUAGUAGCUGGUUCCUGCCGAAGUU
Molecule: ribosomal RNA, 916 nt
Filed under: Alternaria carthami
Lineage: Eukaryota; Fungi; Ascomycota; Dothideomycetes; Pleosporales; Pleosporaceae
Description: LSU rRNA
Rfam family: Eukaryotic large subunit ribosomal RNA
Source: RNAcentral